Molecule: transfer RNA, 73 nt
Filed under: Kocuria palustris
Lineage: Bacteria; Bacillati; Actinomycetota; Actinomycetes; Micrococcales; Micrococcaceae
Description: tRNA-Tyr
Rfam family: tRNA
About the family: Transfer RNA (tRNA) molecules are approximately 80 nucleotides in length. Their secondary structure includes four short double-helical elements and three loops (D, anti-codon, and T loops). Further hydrogen bonds mediate the characteristic L-shaped molecular structure. tRNAs have two regions of fundamental functional importance: the anti-codon, which is responsible for specific mRNA codon recognition, and the 3' end, to which the tRNAs corresponding amino acid is attached (by aminoacyl-tRNA synthetases). tRNAs cope with the degeneracy of the genetic code in two manners: having more than one tRNA (with a specific anti-codon) for a particular amino acid; and 'wobble' base-pairing, i.e. permitting non-standard base-pairing at the 3rd anti-codon position.
Source: RNAcentral
CUCUCGAUAGCUUAGCUGGUAGAGCGUGAGACUGUAAAUCUCAAGGUCGCGUGUUCGACUCACGCUCGGGAGA